RNAcentral lists this ribosomal RNA (393 nucleotides) under uncultured bacterium. Its description in RNAcentral is "partial 16S ribosomal RNA". It matches the Rfam family "Bacterial small subunit ribosomal RNA", at positions 523 to 918 of the family's 1533-position model. The record is from RNAcentral.
AUACGGAGGAUCCGAGCGUUAUCCGGAUUUAUUGGGUUUAAAGGGUGCGCAGGCGGGAGAUUAAGUCGGCGGUGAAAUUUUGCAGCUCAACUGUAAAAGUGCCUUCGAAACUGGUUUCCUUGAGUGUAGAUGAAGUAGGCGGAAUUUGUGGUGUAGCGGGGAAAUGCAUAGAUAUCACGAGGAACUCCGAUUGCGCAGGCAGCUUACUAAACUACUACUGACGCUCAGCCGCGAAGGCGUGGGGAUCAAACAGGAUUAGAUACCCUGGUAGUCCACGCAGUAAACGAUGAUUACUAGCUGUUUGCGAUACAAUGUAAGCGGCUGAGCGAAAGCGUUAAGUAAUCCACCCGGGGAGUACGUUCGCAAGAAUGAAACUCAAAUGAAUUGACGGGG